Molecule: non-coding RNA, 815 nt
Organism: Sus scrofa (pig)
Lineage: Eukaryota; Metazoa; Chordata; Mammalia; Artiodactyla; Suidae
Source: RefSeq, a predicted model, not a curated record
CUCUUGGCUGACAGAAUAACGAGAACUGUUGCAAGAGUGGAGGCUAUGAGAGGAGUUACAACCAGAGACGAGGGUGACCACUGACCCUGGGGAAGGAAGAGGGCAGGCUGAAGCUUUCCUACCCAGAGGCUGUACACGAUGGGAUUGACCAGGGGAGUGACCACAGUGUAGAACAGAGAGAAGAUCUUGUUCAGGGCAGCAGCCCGGGUUGCUGUGGGGAUGGCAUACACCGUUCCCAGCGUGCCAUAGUACAGCGUGACCACGAUGAGGUGGGAGGAGCAGGUGGAGAAGGCCCGUUGCUUUCCGGCAGCUGAUGGAAUUCUGAGGACAGCAGCAACAAUGUGCGCAUAGGAGGCUACGAUGAACUGCAGUAGAAGAGGGCAUGAAGGACAGGAAGGAAUUAAGGAUGAAUCUCCGGUUUGGGGCUUAAUCAACUGCAUGGAUGAUCAUGUCUUUUCCUGAGAUGGGAGGACCAGUCAGUCAUUGCAGUCCAUGCAGAGUGGAGGUAGGAACUGAAGAAGAUCGGCUUCCAUCAUCUUUAAGGUAUGAAUUUGGAAGAUAUUAUGACUGUGUAAUUGAACGACUGACCUGAUUCUGGUUGGCUUGUUAGGGUGAAAAUCAGCCUUUCCUCGCACACACGUUCUGUGGGGAGGUAAGCUCAUGUAUCAGCUCACAUGCACAUGUGAUUACAUGUGGGGGGAUUGCUGAAAGAUGAGUGAUGAUAAUAAUGGCUUACCAUGCUUUAGACACUGCGCUACUGGAGUUAUAUAUCCUCAGAACCUCCAUAUGAAGCAGGUAUUUUUAUUUUAUUUUCU